GAUGAACGCUGGCGGCGUGCCUAAUACAUGCAAGUCGAGCGAACAGACGAGGAGCUUGCUCCUCUGACGUUAGCGGCGGACGGGUGAGUAACACGUGGAUAACCUACCUAUAAGACUGGGAUAACUUCGGGAAACCGGAGCUAAUACCGGAUAAUAUAUUGAACCGCAUGGUUCAAUAGUGAAAGACGGUUUUGCUGUCACUUAUAGAUGGAUCCGCGCCGCAUUAGCUAGUUGGUAAGGUAACGGCUUACCAGGGCAACGAUGCGUAGCCGACCUGAGAGGGUGAUCGGCCACACUGGAACUGAGACACGGUCCAGACUCCUACGGGAGGCAGCAGUAGGGAAUCUUCCGCAAUGGGCGAAAGCCUGACGGAGCAACGCCGCGUGAGUGAUGAAGGUCUUCUGAUCGUAAAACUCUGUUAUUAGGGAAGAACAAAUGUGUAAGUAACUAUGCACGUCUUGACGGUACCUAAUCAGAAAGCCACGGCUAACUACGUG
This 497-nucleotide ribosomal RNA is filed under the name uncultured bacterium. RNAcentral describes it as "partial 16S ribosomal RNA". It matches the Rfam family "Bacterial small subunit ribosomal RNA", at positions 28 to 507 of the family's 1533-position model. The record is from RNAcentral.